This 906-nucleotide long non-coding RNA is filed under the name Betta splendens (Siamese fighting fish). RNAcentral describes it as "lncRNA (ENSBSLG00000005468.1)". Lineage: Eukaryota; Metazoa; Chordata; Actinopteri; Anabantiformes; Osphronemidae. The record is from RNAcentral.
GCUCUCAGUAUGUGGAGGGAGAGCUACUGUGCGUAAUGGCUACGCGUGUUGAAUCCUGAGAGGGUUCCUUAAUUUCGGAGGAAGAUUCGACGUCCGACUUAAGAUUAGUCUGAAAGCAGAGUAAAGUAGAGACACGGUGAAACAGAGCUGUUCAAAUGCUUGCCCUUGCGUUGCAUCCGUCCCUGGUCUCCCCACUUUUCCAGUCACAUGGGUUCAUUCUAUCACACGACACCAGUAGACUGUCUUUUCCUCACUCUUACAUUUAAUCAGAGCUUCUGAAUGACUGAACACCUGCCCAACAGUGUGAAAGGCAGGAAGAGUGGAGACAGAAUUGGGUUGGAAAAUUUAUAAUAUAUGUUUUUUAUAUUUUGACCACUAAGACACAGUCAUGCAAACUCUACUGAGAGUCCCUAAAAAUUUGGAAAGUCCAUCAUUUGGAGUGAUGUUUAUUGUUUUAAAAAUAAAAUAAUUAAAAAAAAAAAAAAAAAUUUACUAUUGACUCUGAUUGAUUUCCGCCAGUCCAGUGGAACCAGAAGAACCACAUCCUCCGCAAAAGGCAAAGCAGUCAGUCUGAAGUCCACAACCUGGAGAUUCCCCUUCUCACCAAGACACGAACGUGGUUGUCAACCAGCAGGAUGGAGGCUCGUCACGGCGGCGCGUGUCCACAGUCCCUCUGGCACACUGAAGCGUGGAGCCGCCCUCUUUCACUCGUCUUCAUUCAUGGUGGAUGGUUAUUGUCUGAUUAUGAAUACAGCUGGCAGCCUGCGCGCGUGUCAUUAUCCACUAUGCCCAGGCUAUACACGGCGUGCCAGCUGGCCAUAUCUUAUCUUAUCUGACUCUACCUUCUCCUGCACUGUGCGCUGCCAGAUACAUUAGCCCAGGCUGAUUUGGUGCUUAUGAAACCCC